RNAcentral lists this ribosomal RNA (1065 nucleotides) under uncultured Pseudomonadota bacterium. Its description in RNAcentral is "bacterial SSU rRNA". It matches the Rfam family "Bacterial small subunit ribosomal RNA", at positions 464 to 1533 of the family's 1533-position model. Lineage: Bacteria; Pseudomonadati; Pseudomonadota. The record is from RNAcentral.
AGCAAUUGACAUUAGCGACAGAAGAAGCACCGGCUAACUCCGUGCCAGCAGCCGCGGUAAUACGGAGGGUGCGAGCGUUAAUCGGAAUUACUGGGCGUAAAGGGCACGCAGGCGGUUAAUUAAGUUGGAUGUGAAAUCCCCGGGCUUAACCUGGGAAUGGCAUUCAAGACUGGUUAGCUAGAGUCUUGUAGAGGGGGGCAGAAUUCCAUGUGUAGCGGUGAAAUGCGUAGAGAUGUGGAGGAAUACCGGUGGCGAAGGCGGCCCCCUGGACAAAGACUGACGCUCAUGUGCGAAAGCGUGGCGAGCAAACAGGAUUAGAUACCCUGGUAGUCCACGCUGUAAACGAUGUCGAUUUGGAGGUUGUGGUCAUGAACUGUGGCCUCCGGAGCUAACGCGUUAAAUCGACCGCCUGGGGAGUACGGCCGCAAGGUUAAAACUCAAAUGAAUUGACGGGGGCCCGCACAAGCGGUGGAGCAUGUGGUUUAAUUCGAUGCAACGCGAAGAACCUUACCUACUCUUGACAUCCAGCGAAUCCUUUAGAGAUAGAGGAGUGCCUUCGGGAGCGCUGAGACAGGUGCUGCAUGGCUGUCGUCAGCUCGUGUUGUGAAAUGUUGGGUUAAGUCCCGCAACGAGCGCAACCCUUAUCCUUUGUUGCCAGCGAGUCGGGAACUCAAAGGAGACUGCCGGUGAUAAACCGGAGGAAGGUGGGGAUGACGUCAAGUCAUCAUGGCCCUUACGAGUAGGGCUACACACGUGCUACAAUGGCGUAUACAGAGAGAGGCGAGCCAGCGAUGGGGAGCGGAACUCAGAAAGUACGUCGAAGUCCGGAUUGGAGUCUGCAACUCGACUCCAUGAAGUCGGAAUCGCUAGUAAUCGCGGAUCAGCAUGUCGCGGUGAAUACGUUCCCGGGCCUUGUACACACCGCCCGUCACACCAUGGGAGUGGGUUGCAAAAGAAGUAGGUAGCUUAACCUUUUGGAUGGCGCUUACCACUUUGUGGUUCAUGACUGGGGUGAAGUCGUAACAAGGUAACCGUAGGGGAACCUGCGGUUGGAUCACCUCCUUA